Molecule: ribosomal RNA, 1949 nt
Filed under: Escherichia coli
Lineage: Bacteria; Pseudomonadati; Pseudomonadota; Gammaproteobacteria; Enterobacterales; Enterobacteriaceae
Description: partial 23S ribosomal RNA
Rfam family: Bacterial large subunit ribosomal RNA
Source: RNAcentral
CUAACGUCCGUCGUGAAGAGGGAAACAACCCAGACCGCCAGCUAAGGUCCCAAAGUCAUGGUUAAGUGGGAAACGAUGUGGGAAGGCCCAGACAGCCAGGAUGUUGGCUUAGAAGCAGCCAUCAUUUAAAGAAAGCGUAAUAGCUCACUGGUCGAGUCGGCCUGCGCGGAAGAUGUAACGGGGCUAAACCAUGCACCGAAGCUGCGGCAGCGACACUAUGUGUUGUUGGGUAGGGGAGCGUUCUGUAAGCCUGUGAAGGUGUGCUGUGAGGCAUGCUGGAGGUAUCAGAAGUGCGAAUGCUGACAUAAGUAACGAUAAAGCGGGUGAAAAGCCCGCUCGCCGGAAGACCAAGGGUUCCUGUCCAACGUUAAUCGGGGCAGGGUGAGUCGACCCCUAAGGCGAGGCCGAAAGGCGUAGUCGAUGGGAAACAGGUUAAUAUUCCUGUACUUGGUGUUACUGCGAAGGGGGGACGGAGAAGGCUAUGUUGGCCGGGCGACGGUUGUCCCGGUUUAAGCGUGUAGGCUGAUUUUCCAGGCAAAUCCGGAAAAUCAAGGCUGAGGCGUGAUGACGAGGCACUACGGUGCUGAAGCAACAAAUGCCCUGCUUCCAGGAAAAGCCUCUAAGCAUCAGGUAACAUCAAAUCGUACCCCAAACCGACACAGGUGGUCAGGUAGAGAAUACCAAGGCGCUUGAGAGAACUCGGGUGAAGGAACUAGGCAAAAUGGUGCCGUAACUUCGGGAGAAGGCACGCUGAUAUGUAGGUGAAGCGACUUGCUCGUGGAGCUGAAAUCAGUCGAAGAUACCAGCUGGCUGCAACUGUUUAUUAAAAACACAGCACUGUGCAAACACGAAAGUGGACGUAUACGGUGUGACGCCUGCCCGGUGCCGGAAGGUUAAUUGAUGGGGUUAGCGGUAACGCGAAGCUCUUGAUCGAAGCCCCGGUAAACGGCGGCCGUAACUAUAACGGUCCUAAGGUAGCGAAAUUCCUUGUCGGGUAAGUUCCGACCUGCACGAAUGGCGUAAUGAUGGCCAGGCUGUCUCCACCCGAGACUCAGUGAAAUUGAACUCGCUGUGAAGAUGCAGUGUACCCGCGGCAAGACGGAAAGACCCCGUGAACCUUUACUAUAGCUUGACACUGAACAUUGAGCCUUGAUGUGUAGGAUAGGUGGGAGGCUUUGAAGUGUGGACGCCAGUCUGCAUGGAGCCGACCUUGAAAUACCACCCUUUAAUGUUUGAUGUUCUAACGUUGGCCCGUUAUCCGGGUUGCGGACAGUGUCUGGUGGGUAGUUUGACUGGGGCGGUCUCCUCCUAAAGAGUAACGGAGGAGCACGAAGGUUGGCUAAUCCUGGUCGGACAUCAGGAGGUUAGUGCAAUGGCAUAAGCCAGCUUGACUGCGAGCGUGACGGCGCGAGCAGGUGCGAAAGCAGGUCAUAGUGAUCCGGUGGUUCUGAAUGGAAGGGCCAUCGCUCAACGGAUAAAAGGUACUCCGGGGAUAACAGGCUGAUACCGCCCAAGAGUUCAUAUCGACGGCGGUGUUUGGCACCUCGAUGUCGGCUCAUCACAUCCUGGGGCUGAAGUAGGUCCCAAGGGUAUGGCUGUUCGCCAUUUAAAGUGGUACGCGAGCUGGGUUUAGAACGUCGUGAGACAGUUCGGUCCCUAUCUGCCGUGGGCGCUGGAGAACUGAGGGGGGCUGCUCCUAGUACGAGAGGACCGGAGUGGACGCAUCACUGGUGUUCGGGUUGUCAUGCCAAUGGCACUGCCCGGUAGCUAAAUGCGGAAGAGAUAAGUGCUGAAAGCAUCUAAGCACGAAACUUGCCCCGAGAUGAGUUCUCCCUGACUCCUUGAGAGUCCUGAAGGAACGUUGAAGACGACGACGUUGAUAGGCCGGGUGUGUAAGCGCAGCGAUGCGUUGAGCUAACCGGUACUAAUGAACCGUGAGGCUUAACCUU